UCCGAGUUGACCCCGGCAGUCUCCUUAGAGUGCCCAACUGAAUGGUGGCAACUAAGGACGAGGGUUGCGCUCGUUGCGGGACUUAACCCAACACCUCACGGCACGAGCUGACGACAGCCAUGCAGCACCUGAACCGGCAGUCCCCGAAGGGAAAAUCCUAUUUCUAGGACGGUCCGCCAUUGUCUAGCCCAGGUAAGGUUCUUCGCGUUGCGUCGAAUUAAGCCGCAUGCUCCGCCGCUUGUGCGGGCCCCCGUCAAUUCCUUUGAGUUUCAGCCUUGCGGCCGUACUCCCCAGGCGGGGCACUUCAUGCGUUAGCGCCGGCACCCAGGGGGUCGCUCCCCCAAGCACCUAGUGCCCAUCGUUUACGGCGUGGACUAC
Molecule: unclassified non-coding RNA, 378 nt
Filed under: uncultured bacterium
Lineage: Bacteria
Description: contains 16S-23S intergenic spacer region
Source: RNAcentral